GGAGGGCGCGGGCCCGGGCGGGCGGGCGCUCCUGGGAGGCGGCGGCUGCACCGGUCCCGCCGCCUGAGGGAAGCCAACGGGAUGUUGUUACGGAGCCAGCGGAUCCGGAGCAACCCCGGAAGUGAAAGGGAACCGGGGGAAGGGAGGAAAAGGCGGCGACAAUAGCAACCAGGUCCGGCGACGGGGGCCGGGAGGGGUCAGUUCCCGCCGCCACCAAGCGCGGGCGCCCUCGCGAGGCCGGGCUGCGAAGGAAGCGGCGAAGAAAUUUGAUGGCCCCUGUGCUAGAUUCAAGGAUGCUUCUCCCAACUGCCUCAGUUUCCUCCUGGCUGCAGCCCAAAGGCCACAAGACCCCACUGAAUCAGAGAACUCCAGGGUUAGGAGGCAUUAGUGGGCUUCCAGUGAAAUUUCUCAUCUGAGGCCAGAAUCUCCCAAGGAUACCUUCUCAAGAGAUCCCCUGGAGGCGAAGGCACACCACUGCCUGCAGAGGCCAAGUCACCUUCUUUGGGAAGUUCUGGCUGCUGGAAAAUCACUCCUUACACGGAACUAAAAUCUGGUGGAAAAAAAAGAAUUUGUUCAGGUUUUAUUGUUCAUAAUCCCAUCUCCAGCCUUUGGAGGAGGAAGACACUGUCACCAGCAAGAUGGUCUGUGCUGUCUGUCUUGUGUGGGGCAGCACAACGGGUAGGGAGGAGAUCUGCAGAAACUGUGUGCUCUGCGUGGAAGAAGAUGCUGGAUGCCUCUAGAGAGAGGAAUCCAGAAAAGGGAUGCUGGAGGGGCAUGGCUGAAGGGGAGGGGUGAGAGAGAACCUGCAGGCGGGGAAGGAGACAGAAGUAUGGGAGCUGUCUCAAAUUAUUCUUCAGUGCUUCUGGAGUAGGACUUGAGUGUGUGGGUGUGUUUCUAGAUGCUUCAAGCCAUUGAAAUGUCCUUCAAGGAUAUGGUCCAGGUGUAUUUGAGUUGUGUCAGUUUCCCUGACGUUCCCAUAAAACAAUCUCAUACUGUCAGUCCCAAGAGCUUUCAGACCAAGCAGCACCAUAGCCAUAAUGAUCCAAAUCCCACCUCACUGUCUUCCUUCCUGGCUACAGGUUUCCUCUUCUCUCACCUCAAAGGUUGCUUCAAACCAGAAGGCAUGGAAGGAGAGAGAGGUGGCGGGAGACCAUGCGCCAUCUCCUUGGCCCAGGGUAGAAGGUUUUCCAGGGCACAGAGUAAUGCACAGACCUCCAGAGCUAUGUUAGAGAUCCCGUAUUCAAGAUCUAUACCUGCAAUAAUUGUGUGUGCAAACUUUUGUUACCAUUUCUCUUCUUUGUGCCUCAGUCUCUUCCUCUGUACAACAGGAGGCUGGGGCUAGGAAAGUGCUCAAAUCCUGCUUGUUGCACUUGAGUGUUCUACAAGGGGGCUUUGGAGGUGUGGGGCAGGACGCGCCACAGUGAGGAUGCUAAGGGGCUGGGUUUCCUGGCCAUCCUACUCAACUUUCAUCUAAGCAUCUCUGUGCUAUCUAUUGGGUAGACUGGGAUUUCUUAAAAUCUGUUAAUACUAAAUUUCUGCUGCUAAAGAAAUAAAAAGGCUAGAAUCCAGUGAA
Vicugna pacos (alpaca) is the source of this 1573-nucleotide non-coding RNA. The record is from RefSeq and is a predicted model, not a curated record. NCBI's taxonomy places the organism in Eukaryota, Metazoa, Chordata, Mammalia, Artiodactyla, Camelidae.